CAAGUCGAGCGGACGGAUGGGAGCUUGCUCCCUGAAGUCAGCGGCGGACGGGUGAGUAACACGUGGGCAACCUGCCUGUAAGACUGGGAUAACUCCGGGAAACCGGGGCUAAUACCGGAUAACUCUUUUCCUCACAUGAGGAAAAGCUGAAAGAUGGUUUCGGCUAUCACUUACAGAUGGGCCCGCGGCGCAUUAGCUAGUUGGUGAGGUAACGGCUCACCAAGGCCACGAUGCGUAGCCGACCUGAGAGGGUGAUCGGCCACACUGGGACUGAGACACGGCCCAGACUCCUACGGGAGGCAGCAGUAGGGAAUCUUCCGCAAUGGACGAAAGUCUGACGGAGCAACGCCGCGUGAGUGAUGAAGGUUUUCGGAUCGUAAAACUCUGUUGUCAGGGAAGAACAAGUACCGGAGUAACUGCCGGUACCUUGACGGUACCUGACCAGAAAGCCACGGCUAACUACGUGCCAGCAGCCGCGGUAAUACGUAGGUGGCAAGCGUUGUCCGGAAUUAUUGGGCGUAAAGCGCGCGCAGGCGGUUCCUUAAGUCUGAUGUGAAAGCCCCCGGCUCAACCGGGGAGGGUCAUUGGAAACUGGGGAACUUGAGUGCAGAAGAGAAGAGUGGAAUUCCACGUGUAGCGGUGAAAUGCGUAGAGAUGUGGAGGAACACCAGUGGCGAAGGCGACUCUUUGGUCUGUAACUGACGCUGAG
Molecule: ribosomal RNA, 709 nt
Filed under: Cytobacillus firmus
Lineage: Bacteria; Bacillati; Bacillota; Bacilli; Caryophanales; Bacillaceae
Description: bacterial SSU rRNA
Rfam family: Bacterial small subunit ribosomal RNA
Source: RNAcentral